Molecule: ribosomal RNA, 460 nt
Filed under: uncultured bacterium
Lineage: Bacteria
Description: partial 16S ribosomal RNA
Rfam family: Bacterial small subunit ribosomal RNA
Source: RNAcentral
CCUACGGGAGGCAGCAGUGAGGAAUAUUGGUCAAUGGGCGGAAGCCUGAACCAGCCAAGUAGCGUGCAGGAUGACGGCCCUACGGGUUGUAAACUGCUUUUAUACGGGAAUAACGCGCCUUACGUGUAGUGCUUUGCAUGUACCGUAUGAAUAAGGACCGGCUAAUUCCGUGCCAGCAGCCGCGGUAAUACGGAGGGUCCGGGCGUUAUCCGGAUUUAUUGGGUUUAAAGGGAGCGUAGGCGGGAUGUCAAGCGUGCUGUGAAAGGUUCGGGCUCAACCCGGGCCUUGCAGCGCGUACUGGCGUGCUUGAGUCCGCGGAAAGCAGGCGGAAUUCGUGGUGUAGCGGUGAAAUGCUUAGAUAUAACGAAGAACCCCGAUUGCGAAGGCAGCUUGCUGCAGCGGAACUGACGCUGAUGCUCGAAAGCGCGGGUAUCGAACAGGAUUAGAUACCCCGGUAGUC